UUUUUAUAAAGCCAAACUCGUCGUGAGGCGGGGUCGGAAAGCCACGGGUCUCUGGUUUGAUUGGAGAUGGCCGGGUUGCAUUG
This 83-nucleotide non-coding RNA is filed under the name Methylophaga sulfidovorans. RNAcentral's name for it is "GEMM cis-regulatory element". It matches the Rfam family "c-di-GMP-I riboswitch aptamer". Rfam says of the family: GEMM was predicted in a large-scale screen for bacterial structured RNA regulatory elements. Genes associated with GEMM are involved in a diverse array of functions, including chemotaxis regulation, signal transduction, secretion and chitin. The record is from RNAcentral. Lineage: Bacteria; Pseudomonadati; Pseudomonadota; Gammaproteobacteria; Thiotrichales; Piscirickettsiaceae.